AUUGAACGCUGGCGGCAUGCCUUACACAUGCAAGUCGAACGGCAGCACGGGAGCAAUCCUGGUGGCGAGUGGCGAACGGGUGAGUAAUAUAUCGGAACGUGCCCGGUCGUGGGGAUAACGUAGCGAAAGCUACGCUAAUACCGCAUACGAUCUACGGAUGAAAGCGGGGGAUCGCAAGACCUCGCGCGAUUGGAGCGGCCGAUAUCAGAUUAGGUAGUUGGUGAGGUAAAGGCUCACCAAGCCGACGAUCUGUAGCUGGUCUGAGAGGACGACCAGCCACACUGGGACUGAGACACGGCCCAGACUCCUACGGGAGGCAGCAGUGGGGAAUUUUGGACAAUGGGCGAAAGCCUGAUCCAGCCAUGCCGCGUGUGUGAAGAAGGUCUUCGGAUUGUAAAGCACUUUAAGUUGGGAGGAAGGGUAGUAACCUAAUACGUUGCUACUUUGACGUUACCGACAGAAUAAGCACCGGCUAACUUCGUGCC
Molecule: ribosomal RNA, 485 nt
Filed under: uncultured bacterium
Lineage: Bacteria
Description: bacterial SSU rRNA
Rfam family: Bacterial small subunit ribosomal RNA
Source: RNAcentral